GGGUUGUGAGGUUAAGCGACUAAGCGUACACGGUGGAUGCCCUGGCAGUCAGAGGCGAUGAAGGACGUGCUAAUCUGCGAUAAGCGUCGGUAAGGUGAUAUGAACCGUUAUAACCGGCGAUUUCCGAAUGGGGAAACCCAGUGUGAUUCGUCACACUAUCAUUAACUGAAUCCAUAGGUUAAUGAGGCGAACCGGGGGAACUGAAACAUCUAAGUACCCCGAGGAAAAGAAAUCAACCGAGAUUCCCCCAGUAGCGGCGAGCGAACGGGGAGCAGCCCAGAGCCUGAAUCAGUGUGUGUGUUAGUGGAAGCGUCUGGAAAGGCGCGCGAUACAGGGUGACAGCCCCGUACACAAAAAUGCACAUGCUGUGAGCUCGAUGAGUAGGGCGGGACACGUGGUAUCCUGUCUGAAUAUGGGGGGACCAUCCUCCAAGGCUAAAUACUCCUGACUGACCGAUAGUGAACCAGUACCGUGAGGGAAAGGCGAAAAGAACCCCGGCGAGGGGAGUGAAAAAGAACCUGAAACCGUGUACGUACAAGCAGUGGGAGCCUCUUUAUGGGGUGACUGCGUACCUUUUGUAUAAUGGGUCAGCGACUUAUAUUCUGUAGCAAGGUUAACCGAAUAGGGGAGCCGAAGGGAAACCGAGUCUUAACUGGGCGUUAAGUUGCAGGGUAUAGACCCGAAACCCGGUGAUCUAGCCAUGGGCAGGUUGAAGGUUGGGUAACACUAACUGGAGGACCGAACCGACUAAUGUUGAAAAAUUAGCGGAUGACUUGUGGCUGGGGGUGAAAGGCCAAUCAAACCGGGAGAUAGCUGGUUCUCCCCGAAAGCUAUUUAGGUAGCGCCUCGUGAAUUCAUCUCCGGGGGUAGAGCACUGUUUCGGCAAGGGGGUCAUCCCGACUUACCAACCCGAUGCAAACUGCGAAUACCGGAGAAUGUUAUCACGGGAGACACACGGCGGGUGCUAACGUCCGUCGUGAAGAGGGAAACAACCCAGACCGCCAGCUAAGGUCCCAAAGUCAUGGUUAAGUGGGAAACGAUGUGGGAAGGCCCAGACAGCCAGGAUGUUGGCUUAGAAGCAGCCAUCAUUUAAAGAAAGCGUAAUAGCUCACUGGUCGAGUCGGCCUGCGCGGAAGAUGUAACGGGGCUAAACCAUGCACCGAAGCUGCGGCAGCGACACUAUGUGUUGUUGGGUAGGGGAGCGUUCUGUAAGCCUGUGAAGGUGUACUGUGAGGUAUGCUGGAGGUAUCAGAAGUGCGAAUGCUGACAUAAGUAACGAUAAAGCGGGUGAAAAGCCCGCUCGCCGGAAGACCAAGGGUUCCUGUCCAACGUUAAUCGGGGCAGGGUGAGUCGACCCCUAAGGCGAGGCCGAAAGGCGUAGUCGAUGGGAAACAGGUUAAUAUUCCUGUACUUGGUGUUACUGCGAAGGGGGGACGGAGAAGGCUAUGUUGGCCGGGCGACGGUUGUCCCGGUUUAAGCGUGUAGGCUGGUUUUCCAGGCAAAUCCGGAAAAUCAAGGCUGAGGCGUGAUGACGAGGCACUACGGUGCUGAAGCAACAAAUGCCCUGCUUCCAGGAAAAGCCUCUAAGCAUCAGGUAACAUCAAAUCGUACCCCAAACCGACACAGGUGGUCAGGUAGAGAAUACCAAGGCGCUUGAGAGAACUCGGGUGAAGGAACUAGGCAAAAUGGUGCCGUAACUUCGGGAGAAGGCACGCUGAUAUGUAGGUGAAGCGACUUGCUCGUGGAGCUGAAAUCAGUCGAAGAUACCAGCUGGCUGCAACUGUUUAUUAAAAACACAGCACUGUGCAAACACGAAAGUGGACGUAUACGGUGUGACGCCUGCCCGGUGCCGGAAGGUUAAUUGAUGGGGUUAGCGCAAGCGAAGCUCUUGAUCGAAGCCCCGGUAAACGGCGGCCGUAACUAUAACGGUCCUAAGGUAGCGAAAUUCCUUGUCGGGUAAGUUCCGACCUGCACGAAUGGCGUAAUGAUGGCCAGGCUGUCUCCACCCGAGACUCAGUGAAAUUGAACUCGCUGUGAAGAUGCAGUGUACCCGCGGCAAGACGGAAAGACCCCGUGAACCUUUACUAUAGCUUGACACUGAACAUUGAGCCUUGAUGUGUAGGAUAGGUGGGAGGCUUUGAAGUGUGGACGCCAGUCUGCAUGGAGCCGACCUUGAAAUACCACCCUUUAAUGUUUGAUGUUCUAACGUUGGCCCCUGAUCGGGGUUGCGGACAGUGUCUGGUGGGUAGUUUGACUGGGGCGGUCUCCUCCUAAAGAGUAACGGAGGAGCACGAAGGUUGGCUAAUCCUGGUCGGACAUCAGGAGGUUAGUGCAAUGGCAUAAGCCAGCUUGACUGCGAGCGUGACGGCGCGAGCAGGUGCGAAAGCAGGUCAUAGUGAUCCGGUGGUUCUGAAUGGAAGGGCCAUCGCUCAACGGAUAAAAGGUACUCCGGGGAUAACAGGCUGAUACCGCCCAAGAGUUCAUAUCGACGGCGGUGUUUGGCACCUCGAUGUCGGCUCAUCACAUCCUGGGGCUGAAGUAGGUCCCAAGGGUAUGGCUGUUCGCCAUUUAAAGUGGUACGCGAGCUGGGUUUAGAACGUCGUGAGACAGUUCGGUCCCUAUCUGCCGUGGGCGCUGGAGAACUGAGGGGGGCUGCUCCUAGUACGAGAGGACCGGAGUGGACGCAUCACUGGUGUUCGGGUUGUCAUGCCAAUGGCACUGCCCGGUAGCUAAAUGCGGAAGAGAUAAGUGCUGAAAGCAUCUAAGCACGAAACUUGCCCCGAGAUGAGUUCUCCCUGACUCCCUGAGAGUCCUGAAGGAACGUUGAAGACGACGACGUUGAUAGGCCGGGUGUGUAAGCGCAGCGAUGCGUUGAGCUAACCGGUACUAAUGAACCGUGAGGCUUAACCUUACAACGCCGAAGGUGUUU
This 2929-nucleotide ribosomal RNA is filed under the name Escherichia coli. RNAcentral's name for it is "23S ribosomal RNA". It matches the Rfam family "Bacterial large subunit ribosomal RNA". Lineage: Bacteria; Pseudomonadati; Pseudomonadota; Gammaproteobacteria; Enterobacterales; Enterobacteriaceae. The record is from RNAcentral.